GGAGACGUGCCAGAGUGGCCGAAUGGGGCUCCCUGCUAAGGAGUUGCCCUCUUGACGAGGGCCGCAGGUUCAAAUCCUGUCGUCUCCG
This 88-nucleotide transfer RNA is filed under the name Corynebacterium mycetoides. It matches the Rfam family "tRNA". From Rfam's summary of the family: Transfer RNA (tRNA) molecules are approximately 80 nucleotides in length. Their secondary structure includes four short double-helical elements and three loops (D, anti-codon, and T loops). Lineage: Bacteria; Bacillati; Actinomycetota; Actinomycetes; Mycobacteriales; Corynebacteriaceae. The record is from Rfam by way of RNAcentral.